This 253-nucleotide ribosomal RNA is filed under the name uncultured bacterium. Its description in RNAcentral is "partial 16S ribosomal RNA". It matches the Rfam family "Bacterial small subunit ribosomal RNA", at positions 524 to 776 of the family's 1533-position model. The record is from RNAcentral.
UACGAAGGGUGCAAGCGUUAAUCGGAAUUACUGGGCGUAAAGGGUGCGUAGGCGGUUAGUUAAGUCUGUCGUGAAAUCCCCGGGCUCAACCUGGGAAUGGCGAUGGAUACUGGCUAGCUAGAGUAUGUCAGAGGAUGGUGGAAUUCCCGGUGUAGCGGUGAAAUGCGUAGAGAUCGGGAGGAACAUCAGUGGCGAAGGCGGCCAUCUGGGACAACACUGACGCUGAAGCACGAAAGCGUGGGGAGCAAACAGG